RNAcentral lists this long non-coding RNA (216 nucleotides) under Helianthus annuus (common sunflower). RNAcentral describes it as "hypothetical non coding rna". The record is from RNAcentral. Lineage: Eukaryota; Viridiplantae; Streptophyta; Magnoliopsida; Asterales; Asteraceae.
ACCAUCGUGUACCGCAAUGUUGACUACCCCACUUCGUCGCAACGAAGAGGGUGUAAUGUUGUUUACUUAACAUGACCCUAAGAAUCGGGGCGGGCGCUACUCCUAUAACGCUACACAAGCGUUAUACAUGUUAAGGUUAAGGUGUGGUUUCAAGGACAAGUUCCUCACAAUAGAAUAAUCCAGUAAUCCCGAACCAAGUAUAACGUAUUAGUAUGC